RNAcentral lists this transfer RNA (71 nucleotides) under Capra hircus (goat). It matches the Rfam family "tRNA". From Rfam's summary of the family: Transfer RNA (tRNA) molecules are approximately 80 nucleotides in length. Their secondary structure includes four short double-helical elements and three loops (D, anti-codon, and T loops). The record is from Rfam by way of RNAcentral. Lineage: Eukaryota; Metazoa; Chordata; Mammalia; Artiodactyla; Bovidae. RNAcentral also lists the same sequence under 1 other name.
UCCCUGGUGGCUCAGAUGUAAAGAAUCUGCCUACAAUGCAGGAGACCCAGGCUCGAUCCCUGGAUGGGGAA